RNAcentral lists this ribosomal RNA (376 nucleotides) under uncultured organism. Its description in RNAcentral is "partial 16S ribosomal RNA". It matches the Rfam family "Bacterial small subunit ribosomal RNA", at positions 527 to 897 of the family's 1533-position model. The record is from RNAcentral.
GUAGGUGGCAAGCGUUGUCCGGGAAUUAUUGGGGCGUAAAGCGCGCGCAGGCGGUCCUUUAAGUCUGAUGUGAAAGCCCACGGGCUCAACCGUGGAGGGUCAUUGGAAACUGGGGGACUUGAGUACAGAAGAGGAAAGCGGAAUUCCACGUGUAGCGGUGAAAUGCGUAGAGAUGUGGAGGAACACCAGUGGCGAAGGCGGCUUUCUGGUCUGUAACUGACGCUGAGGCGCGAAAGCGUGGGGAGCAAACAGGAUUAGAUACCCUGGUAGUCCACGCCGUAAACGAUGAGUGCUAAGUGUUAGGGGGCUUCCGCCCCUUAGUGCUGCAGCUAACGCAUUAAGCACUCCGCCUGGGGAGUACGGCCGCAAAGGCUGA